RNAcentral lists this long non-coding RNA (206 nucleotides) under Marmota monax (woodchuck). Lineage: Eukaryota; Metazoa; Chordata; Mammalia; Rodentia; Sciuridae. The record is from RNAcentral.
CUUUUCAGGAAAACACCAUGGGAAAGAAGAUGCAGACAAAAAUGUGACCAGUUAUUAAAGAAGAAAACGGUAGCUUUGUAAGCAGAUUUUUUUCUUUGUAAAUGCUGUGAUAUGUAGCUAUUGGUAAGCAAUAAAGCGCUUUGGAAAUGUUUGUCCCUCAGGUUGCUGCUUAUUCCUCACUUAUAUCCCAUAUAUGCAACUGAAUU